This 402-nucleotide ribosomal RNA is filed under the name uncultured bacterium. RNAcentral describes it as "bacterial SSU rRNA". It matches the Rfam family "Bacterial small subunit ribosomal RNA", at positions 355 to 773 of the family's 1533-position model. The record is from RNAcentral.
UGGGGAAUCUUGCGCAAUGGGCGAAAGCCUGACGCAGCAACGCCGCGUGGGGGAUGACGGCCUUCGGGUUGUAAACCCCUUUCAGUAGGGACGAAAUUGACGGUACCUGCAGAAGAAGCCCCGGCUAACUACGUGCCAGCAGCCGCGGUAACACGUAGGGGGCAAGCGUUGUCCGGAUUUACUGGGCGUAAAGAGCUCGUAGGCGGUUCGACAAGUCGGGUGUGAAAACUCUGGGCUCAACCCAGAGACGCCACCCGAAACUGUCGUGACUAGAGUCCGGUAGAGGAGUGUGGAAUUCCCAGUGUAGCGGUGAAAUGCGCAGAUAUUGGGAGGAACACCAGUGGCGAAGGCGGCACUCUGGGCCGGAACUGACGCUGAGGAGCGAAAGCGUGGGUAGCAAAC